AAAUUGAAGAGUUUGAUCAUGGCUCAGAUUGAACGCUGGCGGCAGGCCUAACACAUGCAAGUCGAACGGUAACAGGAAGCAGCUUGCUGCUUUGCUGACGAGUGGCGGACGGGUGAGUAAUGUCUGGGAAACUGCCUGGUGGAGGGGGAUAACUACUGGAAACGGUGGCUAAUACCGCAUAACGUCGCAAGACCAAAGAGGGGGACCUUCGGGCCUCUUGCCAUCAGAUGUGCCCAGAUGGGAUUAGCUUGUUGGUGGGGUAACGGCCCACCAAGGCGACGAUCCCUAGCUGGUCUGAGAGGAUGACCAGCCACACUGGAACUGAGACACGGUCCAGACUCCUACGGGAGGCAGCAGUGGGGAAUAUUGCACAAUGGGCGCAAGCCUGAUGCAGCCAUGCCGCGUGUAUGAAGAAGGCCUUCGGGUUGUAAAGUACUUUCAGCGGGGAGGAAGGCGACAAGGUUAAUAACCUUGUUGAUUGACGUUACCCGCAGAAGAAGCACCGGCUAACUCCGUGCCAGCAGCCGCGGUAAUACGGAGGGUGCAAGCGUUAAUCGGAAUUACUGGGCGUAAAGCGCACGCAGGCGGUCUGUCAAGUCGGAUGUGAAAUCCCCGGGCU
RNAcentral lists this ribosomal RNA (619 nucleotides) under Salmonella enterica. RNAcentral's name for it is "bacterial SSU rRNA". It matches the Rfam family "Bacterial small subunit ribosomal RNA", at positions 1 to 609 of the family's 1533-position model. The record is from RNAcentral. RNAcentral also lists the same sequence under 3 other names. Lineage: Bacteria; Pseudomonadati; Pseudomonadota; Gammaproteobacteria; Enterobacterales; Enterobacteriaceae.